This 279-nucleotide small nuclear RNA is filed under the name Pseudocercospora eumusae. RNAcentral's name for it is "Mycosphaerella eumusae U2 spliceosomal RNA". The stretch from base 48 to 279 matches the Rfam family "U2 spliceosomal RNA". From Rfam's summary of the family: U2 is a small nuclear RNA (snRNA) component of the spliceosome (involved in pre-mRNA splicing). Complementary binding between U2 snRNA (in an area lying towards the 5' end but 3' to hairpin I) and the branchpoint sequence (BPS) of the intron results the bulging out of an unpaired adenosine, on the BPS, which initiates a nucleophilic attack at the intronic 5' splice site, thus starting the first of two transesterification reactions that mediate splicing. Lineage: Eukaryota; Fungi; Ascomycota; Dothideomycetes; Mycosphaerellales; Mycosphaerellaceae. The record is from Rfam by way of RNAcentral.
CUAACUUUUCACAGGUGUAGUGUGAGUCGCGCCCAACGACGACACUUCCGACUUCGACUAACAACCAAUCCAGAUCUGUUCUUUUCAGUUUGUGAGUUUCCUUGAACACGCCAGCACGUGUUGAACAUUCUGACCUUCUCCAGAAUCUCUGAAACGUGGUCACGGCCACUUCAUCGAUUAUACUUAUUUUUGGCCUUGGAUGGGUGGCCGCUGGGCUUGCCUAUGUCACUCGUCACCGUGUCGCUGGUAUAGCACUACUUCCAGCUGACGCGACCUCUU